UACGUAGGGGGCAAGCGUUAUCCGGAUUUACUGGGUGUAAAGGGAGCGUAGGCGGUUUAGCAAGUCAGAAGUGAAAGCCCGGGGCUCAACUCCGGGACUGCUUUUGAAACUGUUGAACUAGAUUGCAGGAGAGGUAAGUGGAAUUCCUAGUGUAGCGGUGAAAUGCUUAGAGAUCAUACAGAACACCGAUUGCGAAGGCAGCUUACCAAACUAUAUCUGACGUUGAGGCACGAAAGCGUGGGUAGCAAACAGG
Molecule: ribosomal RNA, 253 nt
Filed under: uncultured Coprococcus sp.
Lineage: Bacteria; Bacillati; Bacillota; Clostridia; Lachnospirales; Lachnospiraceae
Description: partial 16S ribosomal RNA
Rfam family: Bacterial small subunit ribosomal RNA
Source: RNAcentral